Molecule: ribosomal RNA, 439 nt
Filed under: uncultured bacterium
Lineage: Bacteria
Description: partial 16S ribosomal RNA
Rfam family: Bacterial small subunit ribosomal RNA
Source: RNAcentral
CCUACGGGUGGCAGCAGUGGGGGAUAUUGCACAAUGGAGGAAACUCUGAUGCAGCGACGCCGCGUGAGGGAAGACGGUCUUCGGAUUGUAAACCUCUGUCUUUGGGGACAAAAAUGACGGUCCCCAUAGAGACAUCUCCGUAUAACUACGUGCCAGCAGCCGCGGUAAUACGUAGGGAGCGAGCGUUGUCCGGAUUUACUGAGGGUAAUGGGAGCGUAGGCGGGCGAGAAAGUUGAAUGUUAAAUCUACGGGCUUAACUGGGCGGUGCGUUCAAAACUUCUAGACUUGAGUGAAGUAGAGGCAGGCGGAAGGCCGGGUGUAGCGGUGAAAUGCGUAGAUAUUGGGAAGAACACCGGUGGCGAAGGCAGCCUGCUGGGCUCUAACUGACGCUGAGGCUCGAAAGCGUGGGGAGCGAACAGGAUUAGAUACCCGGGUAGUC